RNAcentral lists this transfer RNA (110 nucleotides) under Candidatus Pelagibacter sp. Its description in RNAcentral is "tRNA-Thr". The record is from RNAcentral. Lineage: Bacteria; Pseudomonadati; Pseudomonadota; Alphaproteobacteria; Candidatus Pelagibacterales; Candidatus Pelagibacteraceae.
GCCAAGCUAAAUGUAUUUCAAGAUUAUUGUUGCAAACAAAUGUUUAUUUAAACUUUAGCAAUUGAUUUGUAAUCAAUAGGUCCGCGGUUCGAAUCCGCGCGGGGGCACCA